AAAGCGAAUAGUGAAACCUGGUGGCUCAACCAUUCAGACUAUUAUCCAAACUGCUAAGCUCGAGAAUGGUAGAGGUAGCUGGAAUUUCUAGUGUAGGAGUGAAAUCCGUAGAUAUUAGAAGGAACACCAAUGGCGUAGGCAGGUUACUGGGCUGUUUCUGACACUGAGGCACGAAAGCGUGGGGAGCGAACCGGAUUAGAUACCCGGGUAGUCCACGCCGUAAACGAUGGAUACUA
RNAcentral lists this ribosomal RNA (236 nucleotides) under uncultured Candidatus Saccharibacteria bacterium. RNAcentral describes it as "partial 16S ribosomal RNA". It matches the Rfam family "Bacterial small subunit ribosomal RNA", at positions 584 to 818 of the family's 1533-position model. The record is from RNAcentral. Lineage: Bacteria; Candidatus Saccharimonadota.